RNAcentral lists this transfer RNA (50 nucleotides) under Backhousia angustifolia. RNAcentral describes it as "partial tRNA-Leu". The record is from RNAcentral. Lineage: Eukaryota; Viridiplantae; Streptophyta; Magnoliopsida; Myrtales; Myrtaceae.
GACUUUAAAAAUCGUGAGGGUUCAAGUCCCUCUAUCCCCAAAAAAGGACC